AGGGUUCGAUUAUGGCUCAGGACGAACGCUGGCGGCGCGCCUAACACAUGCAAGUCGAACGGAGCUUAGAGAGCUUGCUUUUUAAGCUUAGUGGCGAACGGGUGAGUAACGCGUGAGUAACCUGCCCUAGAGUGGGGGACAACAGUUGGAAACGACUGCUAAUACCGCAUAAGCCCACGGUACCGCAUGGUACUGAGGGAAAAGGAUUUAUUCGCUUUAGGAUGGACUCGCGUCCAAUUAGCUAGUUGGUGAGGUAACGGCCCACCAAGGCGACGAUUGGUAGCCGGACUGAGAGGUUGAACGGCCACAUUGGGACUGAGACACGGCCCAG
Molecule: ribosomal RNA, 331 nt
Filed under: uncultured bacterium
Lineage: Bacteria
Description: bacterial SSU rRNA
Rfam family: Bacterial small subunit ribosomal RNA
Source: RNAcentral